ACGGGUGAGUAACGCGUGGGAACGUGCCUUCCGGUUCGGAAUAACCCUGGGAAACUAGGGCUAAUACCGGAUACGCCCUUAUGGGGAAAGGUUUACUGCCGGAAGAUCGGCCCGCGUCUGAUUAGCUAGUUGGUGGGGUAACGGCCUACCAAGGCGACGAUCAGUAGCUGGUCUGAGAGGAUGAUCAGCCACACUGGGACUGAGACACGGCCCAGACUCCUGCGGGAGGCAGCAGUGGGGAAUAUUGGACAAUGGGCGCAAGCCUGAUCCAGCCAUGCCGCGUGAGUGAUGAAGGCCUUAGGGUUGUAAAGCUCUUUUAUCCGGGACGAUAAUGACGGUACCGGAGGAAUAAGCCCCGGCUAACUUCGUGCCAGCAGCCGCGGUAAUACGAAGGGGGCUAGCGUUGCUCGGAAUCACUGGGCGUAAAGGGCGCGUAGGCGGCGUUUUAAGUCGGGGGUGAAAGCCUGUGGCUCAACCACAGAAUGGCCUUCGAUACUGGGACGCUUGAGUAUGGUAGAGGUUGGUGGAACUGCGAGUGUAGAGGUGAAAUUCGUAGA
Molecule: ribosomal RNA, 557 nt
Filed under: uncultured Methylobacterium sp.
Lineage: Bacteria; Pseudomonadati; Pseudomonadota; Alphaproteobacteria; Hyphomicrobiales; Methylobacteriaceae
Description: bacterial SSU rRNA
Rfam family: Bacterial small subunit ribosomal RNA
Source: RNAcentral